This 65-nucleotide transfer RNA is filed under the name Laevipilina antarctica. RNAcentral describes it as "tRNA-Ala". Lineage: Eukaryota; Metazoa; Mollusca; Monoplacophora; Tryblidiida; Neopilinidae. The record is from RNAcentral.
GCAAUAUACUUUAAAAAAAAGGUUUGAUUUGCAUUCAGUUAUUAAGGGUGUUCCUUUAUUGCCCG